AAUGUCUCAGUUCGGAUCGGAGUCUGCAACUCGACUCCGUGAAGCUGGAUUCGCUAGUAAUCGCGCAUCAGCCAUGGCGCGGUGAAUACGUUCCCGGGUCUUGUACACACCGCCCGUCACACCAUGAGAGUCGGGAACACCCGAAGUCCGUAGUCUAACCGCAAGGGGGACGCGGCCGAAGGUGGGUUCGAUAAUUGGGGUGAAGUCGUAACAAGGUAGC
Molecule: ribosomal RNA, 220 nt
Filed under: uncultured bacterium
Lineage: Bacteria
Description: partial 16S ribosomal RNA
Rfam family: Bacterial small subunit ribosomal RNA
Source: RNAcentral